GCUCUUUUAUUGAUUGUCUUUAGUAUCGUAUUAAUUGAUCUGAUGUGAGUAUGAAGUGGAUAAAUAUUACUAUCAAUCUAUUGAGCACUUAUAUGUAUCAUGUAAUGCUAACUAUUGUUAUUUUCGACAUGCAUUUUCGCUUACCGACUGAUAUCCAUACAUUUUCCUUCCAGUGGUACUGUUUUUGGACUUCCGACGACGCUGAUAUCGUUUCCGUUUCCGUCUCUGCCAUUCUGUUUUCGUUUCUGAAAAAAAAAAUGAAAAUGUAAAUGAGAGAGAUAGUUUUCCGGCUGCUUCCAACC
RNAcentral lists this long non-coding RNA (302 nucleotides) under Oryza brachyantha (malo sina). RNAcentral's name for it is "long non-coding RNA (OBRA_LNC001048)". The record is from RNAcentral. Lineage: Eukaryota; Viridiplantae; Streptophyta; Magnoliopsida; Poales; Poaceae.